GGUUAAGCGACUAAGCGUACACGGUGGAUGCCCUGGCAGUCAGAGGCGAUGAAGGACGUGCUAAUCUGCGAAAAGCGCCGGCGAGGUGAUAUGAACCCUUGACCCGGCGAUGUCCGAAUGGGGAAACCCAGUGCAAUCCGUUGCACUAUCGUUAACUGAAUACAUAGGUUAACGAGGCGAACCGGGGGAACUGAAACAUCUAAGUACCCCGAGGAAAAGAAAUCAACCGAGAUUCCCCCAGUAGCGGCGAGCGAACGGGGAGCAGCCCAGAGUCUGAAUCAGCUUGUGUGUUAGUGGAAGCGUCUGGAAAGUCGCACGGUACAGGGUGAAAGUCCCGUACACGAAAAUGCACAGGCUGUGAACUCGAAGAGUAGGGCGGGACACGUGGUAUCCUGUCUGAAUAUGGGGGGACCAUCCUCCAAGGCUAAAUACUCCUGACUGACCGAUAGUGAACCAGUACCGUGAGGGAAAGGCGAAAAGAACCCCGGCGAGGGGAGUGAAAAAGAACCUGAAACCGUGUACGUACAAGCAGUGGGAGCACCUUCGUGGUGUGACUGCGUACCUUUUGUAUAAUGGGUCAGCGACUUAUAUUCUGUAGCAAGGUUAACCGUAUAGGGGAGCCGAAGGGAAACCGAGUCUUAACUGGGCGUUAAGUUGCAGGGUAUAGACCCGAAACCCGGUGAUCUAGCCAUGGGCAGGUUGAAGGUUGGGUAACACUAACUGGAGGACCGAACCGACUAAUGUUGAAAAAUUAGCGGAUGACCUGUGGCUGGGGGUGAAAGGCCAAUCAAACCGGGAGAUAGCUGGUUCUCCCCGAAAGCUAUUUAGGUAGCGCCUCGUGAACUCAUCUUCGGGGGUAGAGCACUGUUUCGGCUAGGGGGCCAUCCCGGCUUACCAACCCGAUGCAAACUACGAAUACCGAAGAAUGUUAUCACGGGAGACACACGGCGGGUGCUAACGUCCGUCGUGAAGAGGGAAACAACCCAGACCGCCAGCUAAGGUCCCAAAGUCAUGGUUAAGUGGGAAACGAUGUGGGAAGGCCCAGACAGCCAGGAUGUUGGCUUAGAAGCAGCCAUCAUUUAAAGAAAGCGUAAUAGCUCACUGGUCGAGUCGGCCUGCGCGGAAGAUGUAACGGGGCUAAACCAUGCACCGAAGCUGCGGCAGCGACACUAUGUGUUGUUGGGUAGGGGAGCGUUCUGUAAGCUGUUGAAGGUGGCCUGUGAGGGUUGCUGGAGGUAUCAGAAGUGCGAAUGCUGACAUAAGUAACGAUAAAGCGGGUGAAAAGCCCGCUCGCCGGAAGACCAAGGGUUCCUGUCCAACGUUAAUCGGGGCAGGGUGAGUCGACCCCUAAGGCGAGGCCGAAAGGCGUAGUCGAUGGGAAACAGGUUAAUAUUCCUGUACUUGGUGUUACUGCGAAGGGGGGACGGAGAAAGCUAUGUUAGCCGGGCGACGGUUGUCCCGGUUUAAGCAUGUAGGCGGAGGUUCCAGGUAAAUCCGGUACCUUUUAACGCUGAGGUGUGAUGACGAGGCACUACGGUGCUGAAGUAACAAAUGCCCUGCUUCCAGGAAAAGCCUCUAAGCAUCAGGUAACACGAAAUCGUACCCCAAACCGACACAGGUGGUCAGGUAGAGAAUACCAAGGCGCUUGAGAGAACUCGGGUGAAGGAACUAGGCAAAAUGGUGCCGUAACUUCGGGAGAAGGCACGCUGAUAUGUAGGUGAAGCCCCUGCGGGUGGAGCUGAAAUCAGUCGAAGAUACCAGCUGGCUGCAACUGUUUAUUAAAAACACAGCACUGUGCAAACACGAAAGUGGACGUAUACGGUGUGACGCCUGCCCGGUGCCGGAAGGUUAAUUGAUGGGGUUAGCGGUAACGCGAAGCUCUUGAUCGAAGCCCCGGUAAACGGCGGCCGUAACUAUAACGGUCCUAAGGUAGCGAAAUUCCUUGUCGGGUAAGUUCCGACCUGCACGAAUGGCGUAAUGAUGGCCAGGCUGUCUCCACCCGAGACUCAGUGAAAUUGAACUCGCUGUGAAGAUGCAGUGUACCCGCGGCAAGACGGAAAGACCCCGUGAACCUUUACUAUAGCUUGACACUGAACACUGGUCCUUGAUGUGUAGGAUAGGUGGGAGGCUUUGAAGCGUGGACGCCAGUCUGCGUGGAGCCAUCCUUGAAAUACCACCCUUUAAUGGCUGGUGUUCUAACGUAGACCCGUAAUCCGGGUUGCGGACAGUGUCUGGUGGGUAGUUUGACUGGGGCGGUCUCCUCCCAAAGAGUAACGGAGGAGCACGAAGGUUAGCUAAUCCUGGUCGGACAUCAGGAGGUUAGUGCAAUGGCAUAAGCUAGCUUGACUGCGAGAGUGACGGCUCGAGCAGGUGCGAAAGCAGGUCAUAGUGAUCCGGUGGUUCUGAAUGGAAGGGCCAUCGCUCAACGGAUAAAAGGUACUCCGGGGAUAACAGGCUGAUACCGCCCAAGAGUUCAUAUCGACGGCGGUGUUUGGCACCUCGAUGUCGGCUCAUCACAUCCUGGGGCUGAAGUAGGUCCCAAGGGUAUGGCUGUUCGCCAUUUAAAGUGGUACGCGAGCUGGGUUUAGAACGUCGUGAGACAGUUCGGUCCCUAUCUGCCGUGGGCGCUGGAGAAUUGAGGGGGGCUGCUCCUAGUACGAGAGGACCGGAGUGGACGCAUCACUGGUGUUCGGGUUGUCAUGCCAAUGGCACUGCCCGGUAGCUAAAUGCGGAAGAGAUAAGUGCUGAAAGCAUCUAAGCACGAAACUUGCCCCGAGAUGAGUUCUCCCUGAGACUUAAAGUCUCCUGAAGGAACGUUAAAGACGAUGACGUUGAUAGGUCGGGUGUGUAAGCGCAGCGAUGCGUUGAGCUAACCGAUACUAAUGAACCGUGAGGCUUAACCUU
Molecule: ribosomal RNA, 2904 nt
Filed under: Enterobacter cloacae
Lineage: Bacteria; Pseudomonadati; Pseudomonadota; Gammaproteobacteria; Enterobacterales; Enterobacteriaceae
Description: 23S ribosomal RNA
Rfam family: Bacterial large subunit ribosomal RNA
Source: RNAcentral